CUGAAAGACUUUUUGUCCUUGAGAACUUUCACAACAUAGAUAGAUAAAUAUAUAGAUAGAUAGAUAUCAUAAUAAAAAAAGGUUGAAUGGUUGUAAUGAAAUAAGAAUGCAUCUGAAGAAUGCAUCUGAAGAAACCAGUUCCAAUUUUAGAGGUUAAUUAGUUAGUCGAGGUUUAAUUAUAACAUAUUUGUUUCACAUCAUUGCAUAAAAAUACCAAAAAGUAAACAUAGAAAUGUCUGUUCAGUUAUUAAUGAUUGUGUUUGCUAAAUGAUAUCGUGAUUCUUUUAGAAAAUAUUUGAUUUUUGUAGUAAUUGUUUUCAUAAACUUAAUUCAUUUCCAGAUUGCAUUUAGACUUACCAUCAUGAUGUACAUAUAUCCUCACAACUAUUCUUGUAUAAAAGCAUUCCAUUCAUUCCUUCAUGGUCAAAAUAUGAAAAUACUUAGUGUAAAAUAUAUGCGGGGAUGGAAACACUUUUAAAAAUACCACUUCUAUGCACUUGUACAGAGUUUGAACACAUAGCAUGGGUCGAGAGAGUUAUCCCCCUUGCUGUGUCAUAUAUUCAUUUUACUCCGAUUUCUACAUCUACUAGUUAUAUAACCAUAGAACCUUUUUUAACUAUCUUUUUCAUAGACAGACAUAUUGUUUAGUCAAAUAGUUUUUAUUGAGGUUUAUCGUAGAGGUUAGUGAGUUUCUUACUUGUGAUAUGGAGUUGAUCAAAAUGGGUACGAAGAAGAGGCUGGGGUGUGUGGAGAUGUGACGAAACGUUGCAUCCACUACAGAAAUCUGCAAAGCCAUUUAGAUUAGUCAUGUGUCUGCCAGGAUCUGUUUCCACAAAUUGGUUUUACUAAGACAGUUGAAACUUCCCUACUUCCACAGCAAGUUCAGGUCUAAAUAAUGAAAGUUUUACAUUUAAUUACAAUAAUCUGAUAAUUGUAAAUAUAUUAAUAUUAUAUAAAUAUACUUUACUUACGUGAACCUUGAGGUAUGACACUAGCACUGAAAUUGUUUUGUGGAAACUAGUUUCAAUUGUAUGCUAUUUUCUUGAAUAUAGUGUGCACUUAUUUCCAAAAAUCCCCUAGAUUUUUUGGGGGGGUGUAUUAUCCUCUGGUGCAGACUAUAUAUCAAGGAAAUACGAUACUUCAAAUUCAUCAUUUGUAAAAAUUUGAAUUUCUAUAUAUUCUAUAUAUAUUUCUUUUAAUUUAAGGUCUUUAAACAGCCCUAAAAUGAAUAGGAUUGUGUACAGAAACACUACACAUAGAGAUAGAGACUUGAUAAAAAUUGUGUUCGAGGACCUUUGACUGUUGUAUGUAUUGUAUGCUGCGGUAGUGGUCACUACCGGUUGGCGGAGCGGUCACUACCCAGGGAGUGGGAGUGGUCACUACCGGUCUGGGAAGUGGUCACUACCAGGCUGGGGAGUGGUCACUACCAAGCAGGGGAAGGGUCAUGACCGGUUAGAGGAGUGGUCACUACUGGGCAGAGGUUUGGCUUUGCCGGUUACUGUAGUCGCUGGACUUGAACUCAGGUAGGUAAAUCUUGUCGGAGUUACCGAAUCAUACUAGUUUUAUUUUUGUAUUGUUUCCGUAACAAGUUUGACAAGCAUCUCCUAUAUCAUCUGUGAUGUUAAUCAAGACUUUUUACAUGGAAUUAAAAUACUUUUAUAAAGUUUA
RNAcentral lists this long non-coding RNA (1668 nucleotides) under Haliotis rubra (blacklip abalone). Its description in RNAcentral is "uncharacterized LOC124262320". The record is from RNAcentral. Lineage: Eukaryota; Metazoa; Mollusca; Gastropoda; Lepetellida; Haliotidae.